Molecule: ribosomal RNA, 499 nt
Filed under: uncultured bacterium
Lineage: Bacteria
Description: partial 16S ribosomal RNA
Rfam family: Bacterial small subunit ribosomal RNA
Source: RNAcentral
GACGAACGCUGGCGGCGUGCCUAAUACACGCAAGUCGAGCGAAGUUUUUCUGGUGCUUGCACCGGAAAAACUUAGCGGCGAACGGGUGAGUAACACGUAAAGAACCUGCCUCAUAGACUGGGACAACUAUUGGAAACGAUAGCUAAUACCGGAUAACAGCAUUAACUGCAUGGUUGAUGUUUAAAAGUUGGUUUUGCUAACACUAUGAGAUGGCUUUGCGGUGCAUUAGCUAGUUGGUGGGGUAAAGGCCUACCAAGGCGACGAUGCAUAGCCGACCUGAGAGGGUGAUCGGCCACACUGGGACUGAGACACGGCCCAGACUCCUACGGGAGGCAGCAGUAGGGAAUCUUCCGCAAUGGGCGAAAGCCUGACGGAGCAACGCCGCGUGAGUGAAGAAGGAUUUCGGUUCGUAAAGCUCUGUUGUUAGGGAAGAAUGAUUGUGUAGUAACGAGACACAGUAGAGACGGUACCUAACCAGAAAGCCACGGCUAACUACGUG